Gallus gallus (chicken) is the source of this 4564-nucleotide long non-coding RNA. RefSeq lists it as uncharacterized. The record is from RefSeq and is a predicted model, not a curated record. Lineage: Eukaryota; Metazoa; Chordata; Aves; Galliformes; Phasianidae. The transcript has 3 exons.
GGGGCAGGGCACAGCGGCUAUAACGGGCGGAAUGAGCCGUGAGAGUAGUCGAGCGUGUAGUAGUUAUUUGCGUCUCCGUGUACGUGCUGUAGAAAUAUACUUGUGCUUGGAACUGUGUGCGAAGGGUACUUCUGGCUCCCCGAUAUAUCCCUCACUCUUGGCCUUUGGUUCUUUAGUUGCAAUGUGUUUGCUCACCCUGUGUGAUGACCUCCUCACCUCAAGUUUUAGUAUCAAGUUAGAAUCGGUUACCUUCUUCAUCCUCGCAGAAAAUAAAUCAAGAGCUGACUGGGCAGUGAAGACCAAACCACUCCUCAGUCUGGAUUUGCCGUACUGUUUUUGAAUAUUCUGGGCAAAAAGCCAAGAGAAAGUAGCUCUUACCAAGUUAAAUUAGCUUUCUCUUUUGCAGGCUGAACAGCCCCAGGUCUCUCAGCCUUUCCUCAUAUAGGAGAUGCUUCAGGCACUUCAUCAUCUUCAGGGCCUUCCGCUGGUCUCUCUCUAGAAGUUCCCUGUCUUUCCUGAGCUGAGGAACCCAGAACUGCACACAGUACUCUGGAUGUGGCCCCACCUGGGCAGAGCAGAGGGGGAGGAUCAUCUCUUUUGAUCUGCUGGCCACGCUCUUUUAAGUGCACUCCAGAAUACCACUGGAAGAUAGAAGACAAAAUUAUUAGAGCCAGAAUUAGGCUCCUCAAGGCCUAAUUGAACAGAUUCCAAGGCAUACACUCUUCUCUGUUUACACUGCAAUUUUUUUUAUUUUCACCAUUGCUUCCUGUGAUGUCAGACUCAAGCAGUUGCACUUGUUAUUUGAAGAAGACUGGGGAAGAACAGAAACCUCUCAAAGAAAGGGAACCCAAAGGUGUUUGGCAAAAGAAGUUCUUCUUGUCCUUCUAGUACUACCUUUCUUUAUAUUCCGCAUCACAUGAAUAUAAACUCACUGUAAAGCUUUCUAGGUAUGUACAGGCAUUUGAAACAGGAUGGUUUGUUAGCCUUCGUAUUUCAUCUCUUGUUGGCUGCCUGAGAGUCUGAAAAUUUAUCUUCCAUUCCAGCAUAGACUAUGAUCCAGUGUGUAUACCAGAGUACUUAAACACUUCUGCUCAUUAGCUCCCAGUAUUUCUUCAGGCUCACUUCACUGUUUUGAGAAGAAAUUGUAUUGUCAGCACAGUGUUUUUCAAUAAUGUUUUAAUGAUAUGAAAUGUAUCAAUUAAAGAUGACAUUUACUGUUUUUUUUUCAGUGCUGAGAAAAUGACACCACUAGAGCCAUUUUCUAAGUAACUGAAGAAGAUCAACUAAAAUAAGAUUGUAAUUUCAUUAGGUAGAUGCACAAUAAGAUUACAGUAUCUUGUGAAGUUCCUAAAAGCUUACAGUGCAAAUAGUAGCUAAUAUUCUGAGACUGUCUUAGUUUCCAUAAAACUUGAGUAUAUGCAUAGUAAACUAUUAUUCUAGAAAACAAAUUAAUAAACUAUUAAAUGUAUCUUUCCUUGAUUUAAAAUGCUCAAAAGUUUCUUCAAACAGCAUGCAAAAGAGUCUUCUAUCCUUAAUUUAUGUAUCAUCAUCACAGAAGAGGAAGGCAUUCACGGUACUCUAAACCAGCUCAAAAAGUAAAUCAAAUAUUAAAGCAUUGUGGGUUUUUUUCAUGUACAAUAAUAUUUAGAUUAUGCAAAAAUCAAUUUCAAUAUCAAUUCUGUGCAGUUCAGGUUAGUGUAACACAAGCCUCUGUAUCUUAUUGUUUGUUGGUUUGUUGUUUUUUUUUUUCCUCCACCUUGAAAUUAAGUGGGAAAAGUCCUUUACGUCUAUAAUUUUCCAAAUGCCUGUAUUUUGUGGUUUUCAUGGGGUCUGAUGUGGUUUUGUUCUGAUAAUCCUCUUCCUUACUGAGUUGUCACACUAGCCAUGGAAAUACACUGUUAUUGCUGAAUUUAUUUCAGCUUUUAAUUCAGCUGACUUGUUCCAAAAUAAUUUUAAAAAUCUCCUGAGAUAUUAAUGUCCUAUUAUUUUAAGAGCGUUUCCUACUGUGAUGUACCCCAAGGAAAUAGAACAGUUUUUUUCUUGGUAUCUAACUAUCAUUUGUUGGAUAUCCUGAUUCAGACAGACCUUCAGCAAAAAUUGUUGAUGUUCUUCAAAAGCUACUGUACUUUGCUAAACUGACAGACAAAGAAACAAAAAUGCCAUGAGAAAAUUAAUUUGCCUCACUUUCAGACUCACUAAGCCUGAAGAGAAUAACGUAGUAAAUCUAAAUUAAUCAAGGAAAGAAAAAACUGGAUGAUGAAAUACAUUGCAAGCUAUAUACUUAUUACAGAUUUUUAAAGAAAUCAGGAAAUAGGAGCUAUAUAGGAGGCUUAUAUUUUCAACAGAUUGAAUAUAGCAGUUACUAAAAGAGUGGUUGUAUUUGAUGACUGUUUUCAACUUCAAACCACAUUUCCCCCUAGAGUUUUAUGAAAUAUGAAAAAAAAAAGGACAUUUUUUAAUGCUUAGAUUACUGGAAAAUCAGAUGUACAAUUGUGCUGAAUUAAUUUUGAACCAUUUUAAGAGUAGAAAUUUCUUCAUUUGGGUGAGUGAUAUUGAUAUUUCUCCUAGCUUGCAAAGUUUGUAGAGACUCCUGUCAGUUGUGGACUUUUUUUUAUUGACCCAGCCAUACAUAUUAACUUUAGGUGGUUAUGAAUAAGUUGGGUAAUGUCAGCCUCUCUUACAGCAGUUUGUGUGGCAUGAAGCUGUAUUUCUGGUCUUCCAAAUCAAACACUAUAUGUAGUGCUAUUGGAAAUAAUACAUUAAUUUUUUUUAGAGAACUAAAAAGUCUGUUGAACAAGCAUUAUUUGAAGGUUGAUAUGGAUUGAUUUACCAUUAUUGAAUGCCAUAAUUAACCUGAAGUGCUGACCUCCUUACUGAAGCAAAUUAGUGAUACAACUAUGAAAAGAAGUAUUCGCUUUAUUUGUUUUGGAGAAGAUUGAAACAGUGGGACAUAAGGCAGUAAGCUUCUUUAUAGCAUAGAAUCAUAGAAUGGUUUGGGCUGGAUGGGACAUUUAAGAUCACCUAGUUCCAACUCCACCUGCUAUAGGCAGGGACACCUCCCUUUAGACCGGGUUACUCAAAGCCCCAUCCAGCCUGGCUUUGAAUGCUGAACGUGGAGGAGGCAUCCACAGCCUCUCUAAGCAACCACUUCCAGUGUCUUACCACACCUACAGUAAAGAAUUUAUUCCUAAUAUCUAGUCUAAAUCUACCCUAGCAAAAGGAAAAGGGGAAAUGGUUUUAAACUGGAAGAGGGUAGGUUUAGACAAGAUAUUAGGAAGAAAUUCUUUACUGUGAGGGCGGAGGCUGUGGAUGGCCCCGUCCUAGAAGCACCUGUUUAUAGCAGGUGGAGUUGGAGCUAGAUGAUCUUAAGGGUCCCAUCCAGCCCAAACCAUUCUGAAUCUGUGAAGGCUGAGAAGACAGAAAUUCAGGUUUAAAAGAGUAAACUAUAUGCAGACUCAUAUCUUCUAACUUCAUUAUUUACUGGACAAUUACACUGCUUUAGUCUACCAACUUGCCAAUGAAGCCAAGUUUUGUUUCACUGAAGUCAGCAGGAAAAAUCUUGACUAUUGGAACAACUGCAAUUCAUACUCUAUGCUUACACUCUACAAUAUCAAAAACGAAUGCAUUUCACAGUUUGAAAUUUCAGGCUGUUUCUCUGGGUGUUUUUUGUUUGCUUGUUUGUUUGUUUGUUUGGGUUUUGGUUUUGUUCUGUUUUUCCAGAUUUUAGCAAAAACAUUAUUGUAAAAAAACAAAUUCAUAUUUGAAAACAUGAUGUUUUUCGGGAAAAAAAAGCAAAAAAAUCAAAGGUAUUUCCUUUCUCUCCUUAGAAACUGACAUACAUUAAACAUACCUUCACUUUUUAAUAAAAGUUGUCACUCAUCAUCUAGACUUCUAAUCUGGAAUCUAGUCAGAUCACAGUGUAUUUUACAUUACAAGGAAAGGUUGUAUGUCUGAAUAAUUUAAGCGUAGCUGGUACCUGCUGAAGAGUCUUCAGAAUAAAAGCACAUUAUAUUUUUUCAACAUUCUCGUUAACUUAAAAAAAAAAUUUAAAAAAGGAAAGUUGUUCAUAGACAAAAUAAACUUCUCAAAUCCAUCUUAAACAUACUGGAACACAUUAAGCAGACGGACAGAUCAAUACCUUUAAAAUUGUAAGAACAAUCUGAAACGUUUUGCUGUAAGCUCAUUUUCUAACAGUUUUACCUCGUCCUCUUUCAAAUGGGACUGAUUUUUAAAACUGCUUCCUCCACAUUCAGCAUUCAAAGCCAGGCUGGAUGGAGCUUUGAGUAACCUGGUCUAGAGGCAGGUGUCCCUGCCUAUAGCAAGUGGAGUUGGAGCUAGAUGAUCUUAAAUGUCCCAUACAGCCCAAACCAUUCUAUAAUUCUGUGGUCAAAUAUGUGUUGGUAUUCUACUCAAGUAUCACACUCUACCUGCAGUCUCAAGAAUCAUGCAGUCCUGAGCGUACAGUAAAUUAGAAACACUCUCUUUACUAACUUUCUCCAAUUGCUACAGCUUUUAUUCUUCUAAAAUGAUACAAUGCUACAUGUUUUUUUUUGGUUGGUUGGUU